AGAGCUAAAGCUCGGUUCACUGUAUCCUCUGUCAAUCGGACACAGAGUAGGAUGUGCAUCCCGAUAUAUAAAGAGAUUAAAUGAAGAACUGAAAGUUUCAUGGAAAUAGUUUGAAGAUCAUGCACACCUAUUUAUAGCCCCAUCUUCAUCCAGCAGUCCUGGGUAUCAUUUGGUUCAUGAAUACCACUUAGUCAACAUCUUUCCCUCAAGCAACCCAGCAUUGUCUCCAAAACUGAAAACAAGAAGAAAUACACAGACAAAAUAGCUAGGACUUCC
RNAcentral lists this long non-coding RNA (276 nucleotides) under Struthio camelus australis. RNAcentral describes it as "lncRNA (ENSSCUG00000017140.1)". Lineage: Eukaryota; Metazoa; Chordata; Aves; Struthioniformes; Struthionidae. The record is from RNAcentral.